UACAGAGGUCUCAAGCGUUGUUCGGAUUCAUUGGGCGUAAAGGGUGUGUAGGUGGCGCCGUAAGUCGGGUGUGAAAUUUCGGAGCUUAACUCCGAAACUGCAUUCGAUACUGCGGUGCUUGAGGACUGGAGAGGAGACUGGAAUUCAUGGUGUAGCAGUGAAAUGCGCAGAUAUCAGGAGGAACACCAGCGGCGAAGGCGGCGCUCUGGGCCGGUACUGACGCUGAGGAGCGAAAGCGUGGGGAGCGAACAGG
Molecule: ribosomal RNA, 253 nt
Filed under: uncultured bacterium
Lineage: Bacteria
Description: partial 16S ribosomal RNA
Rfam family: Bacterial small subunit ribosomal RNA
Source: RNAcentral